UAUUUAGAUUUUAAAUAAAAAUUUUUAUAUAAAUAAUUUAUUUUAAUUGAGAAUUAAUUUAAUAAUUAAUUAAGUUUGUUUAAGAAUUUAAUUGUUGAAGUAAAAAUUUUAAAAAUAAUUUUUUUGAAUAAUAAAGUGAGUAAUGAAAAUGAAAUUUUAAAAAAAUAAGAAAGUAAAUUUAAUUAAUUAUACCUUUUGUAUCAGGGGUAAUUAAUAAUAAUAUUUAAAUAUAAAUAUAUCUCGAAUUUAAAAGAUUUAAUUAAAAAUUUUAAGUUACUGUUAAAUUAUUAUUAUUAAUUUUUAAUUGGAAAUGAAAUGUUAAUCGAUUUUAAAUAUAUCUAGUUUUUUUAGAAUUGAAUUUAAUUCAGCUUUAAAAAUUGAAUUUAUUUUUAUUUGGAUAAAAAUUAAAUUUUUAUUUUAAAGUAAUUAUAUUCGGGAUAAAUUGAGUAUAAUAAUUAUAAAUUUUUGUAAUUUAAUUUUAUAAGUGGUAAUAAAAUUAUAUUUCUUUAAAAAAAAUGUUAAAAUUUAUAUUAAAAAAAAUUGUUGUUUAAAAUUUAUUGUUAAAUUUUAAUUAUUUAUAAAAAAAUUAAUGAUUAAUUAUAAUUUAUAAAUUAUAAUGAUUAUAUUAGUAAUAAGAAUUUGUUUAAUUAGUUAAAAAUUUAUUAAGUUAAUUUAAGGAAUUUGGCAAAUAAUAAUUUAUAAAGUAAUUUAUGUAUAUUUACCUGUUUAUCAAAAACAUGUCUUGUUGAAAUUUGAAUAAUAAGUCAAUUCUGCCCAUUGAAAAAAAUUAAAAGGCUGCAGUAUAUUGACUGUACAAAGGUAGCAAAAUCAAUAGUUUUUUAAUUGAAAACUUGAAUGAAAGAAUUCAUAAAAUAUAAGCUGUCUCAAAUUAAUAUAAAUGAAUUUAAAUUUAAAGUUAAAAUGCUUUAAUAAAUUUAUUAGACGAUAAGACCCUAAGAAUUUAAUAAUAUUUUUUAUUAAUUUAAUAAUGUAAAUUUAAUUUAUAUAAAAAAUAUUAGUUUAUUGGGAGGGUAAUUAAAAAUAUUAAACUUUAAUUUUUAAAAGAACAUAGAUAAUUGAAUUUUUAAAGAUAAUUAUUAUAAUUAUGAGAAUUAAUUACCUUAGGGAUAACAGCGUAAUAAUUUUGGAAAGUUCAUAUUGAUAAAAUUGAUUGCGACCUCGAUGUUGAAUUAAAAUAAAAAUUAAGUGUAGAAGCUUAAAAUUUUAGUCUGUUCGACUAUUAAAAUUUUACAUGAUUUGAGUUCAGAUCGGUGUGAGCCAGAUCGGAUUUUAUCUAUAAUUAAAGAUUAUUUUAUUGUACGAAAGGACUUAAAAUAAGAAAUAUUUUUUGAAUAAAUUGAAUUUAAUUAAUUAUUUAAAUAUUAUUUAAUUUUUUAA
This 1398-nucleotide ribosomal RNA is filed under the name Polistes jokahamae. RNAcentral describes it as "16S ribosomal RNA". The record is from RNAcentral. Lineage: Eukaryota; Metazoa; Arthropoda; Insecta; Hymenoptera; Vespidae.